Molecule: non-coding RNA, 122 nt
Organism: Picea glauca (white spruce)
Lineage: Eukaryota; Viridiplantae; Streptophyta; Pinopsida; Pinales; Pinaceae
Source: Rfam
UCAUGUACAUGCCUACACCAUUGAUGCACCAGAUCCAAUCAAAACUUCAUAGUUAGGAACACUUGGGAUAGAGUAGUACUAGGAAGGUUGGCCUCCUUGAAAUUCCUAAUAUUUUACAUGCC